This is a long non-coding RNA of Ictalurus punctatus (channel catfish), 4061 nucleotides long. The record is from Ensembl. Lineage: Eukaryota; Metazoa; Chordata; Actinopteri; Siluriformes; Ictaluridae.
GUAGGAGGUGAGGGAGUGUAUAUGUGUGUGUGAGUAUAAAUGUAUGUAGGGGGAGCUGACAUGGAGAACUGUAUGUAGGCAGGAAGCCUCCACGCUCACGCAUGCUUACUAUGCGGCCCCGGGGGUGGAGAGAGUCUAUGUAGUUAAAUCCACUGCCAGUGGAUAAGCCACUCACAGUGACAUGCAGAUAAGCACAGCAAGCAGCAAGGGCUCGGCCUGAGAAAUACAUACACACUUACAGACACACAUACAUAUACACACAGAGGAUAGCAGUACUUCAACAGGAUUUUGCAGGUUGUCACUAGCAGUUACACAAAAGAGCAGAGAGGUGAAAGAAGAAGAGAAGAGAAGCAGAGACAAAGCAGUCUGCAUAUGGAAAAGCUCAGCCAUGUGCACAGGUAAGAACAACUCCAGAAACUCUUUCAAUGACUUUGUGUAUAGGAAAAUAAUAAGGGACUAGUCAUGUUUAUAUAUUGGGCUUACUGCUGAUACAAUCUAGAGUCCUCCAUUUAUGGUUUAACACACUUUAUCAUAGCAAAGUCCUCUCUUUAAUUUGAGAUUAUUUUGUGUAUGAUUACAUUUUAGGCAAAUCUGGGUAAUUUUCUGUGAAUCAGAAUGAGUAAAAGUCAGUAGCGGGAUGGCACUGUUUGUGAGUGUGUGGAGUGUUUUGAGUUCACUGAAUAGUAUGAGUGAUGAUGAGUUUGUGUGUUAGAGAGAGAGCUCUAAUUGUUGUCAGUGAGAGUGCACGCCUGCAGCGGUGGAAGGAGGGACAUAAACCUGGCACUGUCUUUGUUCUCUACAGUUGCAUGGCAGUUACAGAGCAGGUAUAUAAACACACACACACACACACACACACACACACACACACACACACACACCUUUCUGCUCUUGCCCUAAUCCACUCAAACUCAACAGCAGCUGCUCCAACCCACAGGAUACAUUCACUGGGGAUGGUUGUUUGUUUUAUUGUCUGUUCCCAACCAGAGGAAACCAGAUCAGAGAAAAGCUCCACUAGCCUGCAAAACUUAUUGUGCCUCCACACGAGUGAGUGGGUGGAUGUGAGUUUUAGUGCAAAUGUGUCUAAACGUGCAUUCGCAUGUGUUUGCCCAGAAGAGUGAGUGUGCAUGUAUGAGUGUGUGGGAGUUUGGAUAUAGGUAUUUGUGUAGGUGGGGUGUAGCUGUACAUGUGUGGGUGACUGAGUGCAUGUGUGAGUGUAAGGGUGCAUGUGCUUGCCUCUGUGAGUGUGUAUGUGUGUAUUAAACAUGCCUACUAGAACUGGCAAUAAUAUAAAAGCUGGGAUGUUUGUCAAACCUUGAGCAUUCCUGUACACCCUGACCCCAUACUGAAUGCUGAGAAUUUCAGCUGAAACAGAAAGAUAAUAGCCAGGAGGACAUUUAAGAGGGUUUAGCUCAGAUCCCUGGGAAUCAAUCCCCCGGGUGCAGUGGGAAAAUCAAGAGCUCAGGCCUGUAUUUCAGGUUUCAGUUAGAGACAGUUGCAGCCUGCUGCCGAGGGGCUUUCCCAAAAUGGGGCACAAUCGGGAGGGGAUACAAAGAGACCCACCUGUGGUGCUCUGAGGACUGUGGUGUCUGCUCACAGUGGGAAAUGUCUUGCUGUUGUAGCCCUGCAAGGCUGCUGAUAUUUUUCAUUUCUAUUUGGCUGAUUAAUUCAGUGAUGGAUUUGAAUGGUGUGUGGUCUGUAAUGUAGUCUAGUUUUCUACAGCAUGAAUAUAAAGGACAAGGAAGGCUGUGUCAUUAUGUCUCUUCAUGGGGUUCUUGAGCAUGGACAAAUGUUAAAUAAGCAUGUUAUCACACACACACACACACACACACACACACACACACACACACACACACACACAUACACUAGAGCCUUUUAUAUGUUACUGAUAAUUAUAAAUCUUGCUUUAAACCAUUCAAUAUAUAAUUGCAAUAUCACAGGAAUCUAAUAUUACUAGCAAUAUCAUUAACAUGAUUUUGGAGGAGAGAUAGUAAUUAAAACCAACACAAGUUGCUCUGUAGCUAAUUAAAAUACCUGUGCAGAAAAAUUGUCCAUUUUCCCUUCAUAACAUAUUUGAGCACAGUGUUGCCCUGAACUAUUUUUCAUUUAUCUAAUUUGUUUACUUAAUAUACAGUGCCUGUUUUUUAGGGGCCAAGCACCAAAAGUGCGUAGGCACUUAUUGUAUCUGUUAGUUUUCCUCUUCUUCUUCUUCUUCUUCUUCUUCUUCUUCUUCUUCUUCUGCUGCUGCUUCUUCUUCUUCUUCUUCUUCUUCUUCUUCUUCUUCUUCUUCUUCUUCCACCCCAUUGCUAGUCUAUGGCAGCCCUAUGAACCAUAAGUAGGAAAAUUAUGAAAUUUGGCACACUCAUAGACAUGACCAUGAAUAGUAUCUGGACCAAUUAUGGGGUCUCUAAGACCAACUCUAUAGCACCACCACUAGUUCACUUUUCAAAUGGUUAUAAUUGUUGAAAACUUGGUCCUAGAGAAAAGCAAUUUAGUUCAUCAGAUUACUCUCCUCAUGCUGAUCACAAUACAUUUCUUACAUUAAGACCCCACCCAUUACAGUAGUCACCACUUUGAAAUGUAAAGUAUUCAGUUUUUUCAUUACUUCUCAUUCAAAUUUGGUCCAAUUCUUACUGAAAUUGGCUCAGAUGAUCAUUGGACAGAGCUGCACAGAAAUGACUGAACAGAACUUUGAUAUUCAUAUGUGUUCAAAAGUUAUGAUGUCGCAAAUUUAAUUAUGUUGACCCAAAAUUGGUUCACAGGCAGUGUCUUGGCCAGACUUUGAUCAAUUGUAACGAAACUUGGUAGUCUUCAUCAGCAGCAUAAUCUGAGGGUUCAUGCCAAAUUUGAGAACAGCGCCACCUAAAGGUCAUGAGAUUUUAAAAAGGAAAUUUUUUGCUUAUAACUUUUGAAUGCUUUGUCAGAAAAUUUUGAGCUUGGUGUGCACAGAUUCAGUGGGUCAUGCCGAAUCCGUGUAUAUGAAUUUUGCCAGGAUUGGGCAAAUCGCCUGUCCGCCAUUUUGAAAUUUCUUAUAUAUUGUAAUAUCUUUUCAAGUAUUUGACAUAUCGGCACAAUUUCGUAGGGAUCAUUCAUAGCAUGUCCUCUAGAUACCUGAGAAAGUUGAAUGCAGUGCCACCUAGUGUUCUAGAGAUAUAAGGUUUUUUUGUAAAAAAAAAAAAAAAAAACAUAACUUUUGAAAACAUUCUCCGAAAUUUGUUUUUUCUGCUUCGUUACGUAUGUGGUGCACUGUGAUAAAUGACAAGCAUCAAUACUAAAGAUCCUGGGUUCAAUUUCUGUGUGGUGCAAAUUCUUAAAAGUCUGUGUAAUGUUUUGUCUUUCAGUUCCUUUCUUUUGUGGCUCAGCAUUACACUAAACUUUCAAUCUCUUGCCAUGCUAAUAAAUGUCUCUGUUCUGUUCAUUUCCUGUUCAUCUUAUUCUCAGCUGUGUUUCUGAACCUAUCUUUUAUUCAUUAAUGUACACACUUUUUCCUCCUCUUUGUGUUCUUCAGGCUCCGCAUUGCACUUGCUGUGCCUUUGGUGCUUGGCCCCUUUAAACACUGCUUGCAGCUUUAAUUUAAUAUUACAUUUGCUUGUAUAGUCCAUCAAUUGGGUAAAUCCUUUCUCAAAUUGGUGAAUUCCAUUUUCCAUCCCAUUAACUAGGUAAUUAAAAUUAGGCCUGUACUGCAUUUAAUGGUUUGGUAUCAGCAUGGUGUCACAACAAUACACUGGAACCAAUAACAACAGUGUCAGACUAACUUACAAAAAAAACAUCCAGUAUGGGCUCCAUUUUGUUCGAAUUUUUGGUAAAAAUGUAUAAAAUACGUAACAAUUUGCACAACUCAAAUUCCUUUGGUCAUGAUUAACAUUAACAUUAGGGUUAUGGGUGGGGUUAGUAUGGAUUCUUGCUACUUCCUCUGUGUAAACCUAAUAAAAUCCAGUUGAAUUAAUAAUAAUAAUAAUAAUAAUAAUAAUAAUAAUAAUAAAUAAUAAUAUGUCUGAUAUCUCGUGUCUCAGGUUGUAAAAAGGUUUCUAUAAAAUUGAAUGGCUUUUAAGGUUAAGCUUCCU